This 361-nucleotide transfer-messenger RNA is filed under the name Campylobacter sputorum subsp. bubulus. RNAcentral's name for it is "transfer-messenger RNA, SsrA". It matches the Rfam family "transfer-messenger RNA". From Rfam's summary of the family: Bacterial tmRNA, also known as 10Sa RNA or SsrA, is named for its dual tRNA and mRNA-like properties. Its role is to liberate the mRNA from a stalled ribosome. Lineage: Bacteria; Pseudomonadati; Campylobacterota; Epsilonproteobacteria; Campylobacterales; Campylobacteraceae. The record is from RNAcentral. RNAcentral also lists the same sequence under 2 other names.
GGGGAUGACUUGGCUUCGACAGGAGUAGAUUGCCCAUGGUUGCAUGUCGCUUUGGAUAUAGCGUAUAAAAUCCAAACUAAAUUUAAACGCAAAUAACGUUAAAUUCGCUCCUGCUUACGCUAAAGCUGCGUAGGUUCAGUUGAGCCUUGCAUUGUGCUGAUACUAUUUAGGCACAAAAGCGAGUAAUUUUAAAUAGUGUAGUUCAAAUGUCUGACAAACAUUUGUGCGAAUUUUUUGUCUUAGUUUAAAAGAAAGUUUUGGAAAGUGAGCUCUUUUAAAUGAAAAUUUCACUUUUGCUAAACAUGUAGAUGCCUUGAGUGUUUAUUUUUGGACUGCGGUUCGAUCCCGCACAUCUCCACCA